This 876-nucleotide ribosomal RNA is filed under the name uncultured crenarchaeote. RNAcentral describes it as "bacterial SSU rRNA". It matches the Rfam family "Archaeal small subunit ribosomal RNA", at positions 21 to 903 of the family's 1478-position model. Lineage: Archaea; Thermoproteati; Thermoproteota. The record is from RNAcentral.
ACCUGACUGCUAUCGGAUUGAUACUAAGCCAUGCGAGUCAUUGUAGCAAUACAAGGCAUACGGCUCAGUAACGCGUAGUCAACCUAACCUAUGGACGGGAAUAACCUCGGGAAACUGAGAAUAAUGCCCGAUAGAACAUUAUGCCUGGAAUGGUUUAUGUUCCAAAUGAUUUAUCGCCAUAGGAUGGGACUGCGGCCUAUCAGUUUGUUGGUGAGGUAAUGGCCCACCAAGACUAUUACAGGUACGGGCUCUGAGAGGAGUAGCCCGGAGAUGGGUACUGAGACACGGACCCAGGCCCUAUGGGGCGCAGCAGGCGAGAAAACUUUGCAAUGUGCGAAAGCACGACAAGGUUAAUCCGAGUGAUUUCUGCUAAAGAGAUCUUUUGUUAGUCCUAGAAACACUAACGAAUAAGGGGUGGGCAAGUUCUGGUGUCAGCCGCCGCGGUAAAACCAGCACCUCAAGUGGUCAGGAUGAUUAUUGGGCCUAAAGCAUCCGUAGCCGGCUCUGUAAGUUUUCGGUUAAAUCUGUACGCUCAACGUACAGGCUGCCGGGAAUACUGCAGAACUAGGGAGUGGGAGAGGUAGACGGUACUCGGUAGGAAGUGGUAAAAUGCUUUGAUCUAUCGAUGACCACCUGUGGCGAAGGCGGUCUACCAGAACACGUCCGACGGUGAGGGAUGAAAGCUGGGGGAGCAAACCGGAUUAGAUACCCGGGUAGCCCCAGCUGUAAACUAUGCGAACUCAGUGAUGCAUUGGCUUGUGGCCAAUGCAGUGCUGCAGGGAAGCCGUUAAGUUUGCCGCCUGGGAAGUACGUACGCAAGUAUGAAACUUAAAGGAAUUGGCGGGGGAGCACCACAAGGGGUGAAGCCUGCGGUUC